CUGUGAUGGAACAUGCUCCAACUGAUACCAUUUUCAGCACCUGAGAUGGUUAAGCCAUGUCCAUCAUUUCCAGACUCCGGACCGUGAGAUGGUGCUACCCAGAUCCAGGGUGUAUCUCUGUGGGGAUGUUCUCGCAUGCACAUACCUCCUCAUUGAUUGAAACCUCAGUCCAGGUGGCCUUGAAGAUUAAUCAUCACAGUAGCAGCCAACCCACUGCCCUGAGCUCUACAGGAUCUUCCACGUCCUCAGAUGCCAGCCUGAAAAUUAUACCCAACAUAUCCACACCUCCCUCACUACCUCAUUCUACUACUUUGGUAUAGAUUUAUUUCAAAGGUCCUCCUUCUGGCCCAGACUGUGGCUUUAGUGAAUCCCCUGCCCCUCUGGACCAUCUGGUGUAGCCUGGAAUAGUGAAGAAGCUGAAGAUAUUUUCCAUACAGGAAGGAGAAGGUUUUGCUCUUAUCCCUUAAUAAAAAUGUUCUGUGAACCA
Molecule: long non-coding RNA, 487 nt
Filed under: Mus spicilegus (steppe mouse)
Lineage: Eukaryota; Metazoa; Chordata; Mammalia; Rodentia; Muridae
Description: lncRNA (ENSMSIG00000021484.1)
Source: RNAcentral